RNAcentral lists this ribosomal RNA (253 nucleotides) under uncultured bacterium. RNAcentral's name for it is "partial 16S ribosomal RNA". It matches the Rfam family "Bacterial small subunit ribosomal RNA", at positions 524 to 776 of the family's 1533-position model. The record is from RNAcentral.
UACAGAGGGUGCGAGCGUUAAUCGGAAUUACUGGGCGUAAAGCGCGCGUAGGCGGCUUUGCAAGUCGGGUGUGAAAUCCCCAGGCUUAACCUGGGAACUGCAUUCGAGACUGCAUUGCUAGAGUAUGGGAGAGGGAAGUGGAAUUUCCGGUGUAGCGGUGAAAUGCGUAGAUAUCGGGAGGAACACCAAUGGCGAAGGCAGCUCGCUGGGACGUGACUGACGCUGAGACACGAAAGCGUGGGGAGCAAACAGG